RNAcentral lists this ribosomal RNA (118 nucleotides) under Diaphorina citri (Asian citrus psyllid). Lineage: Eukaryota; Metazoa; Arthropoda; Insecta; Hemiptera; Psyllidae. The record is from RNAcentral.
CGCGGGAGAUGUGGAACGGUGAAUGUACCAGUUCCUAAUGGAUCACCGAAGUUAAGCAACGUUGUGCAUGGUUGGUAUUCGAAUAGGUGACCAUCUGGAUAAUCGCGUCCUGCUGGCU